GGCCUAACACAUGCAAGUCGAGGGGUAUAUUUCUUCGGAGAUAGAGACCGGCGCACGGGUGCGUAACGCGUAUGCAAUCUGCCUUUCACAGAGGGAUAGCCCAGAGAAAUUUGGAUUAAUACCUCAUAGUAUUACAGGAUGGCAUCGUCCAGUAAUUAAAGUCACAACGGUGAAAGAUGAGCAUGCGUCCCAUUAGCUAGUUGGUAAGGUAACGGCUUACCAAGGCAACGAUGGGUAGGGGUCCUGAGAGGGAGAUCCCCCACACUGGUACUGAGACACGGACCAGACUCCUACGGGAGGCAGCAGUGAGGAAUAUUGGUCAAUGGGCGCAAGCCUGAACCAGCCAUGCCGCGUGCAGGAUGACGGUCCUAUGGAUUGUAAACUGCUUUUGUACGAGAAGAAACACUGAUUCGUGAAUCAGCUUGACGGUAUCGUAAGAAUAAGGAUCGG
This 450-nucleotide ribosomal RNA is filed under the name uncultured Flavobacteriia bacterium. Its description in RNAcentral is "bacterial SSU rRNA". It matches the Rfam family "Bacterial small subunit ribosomal RNA", at positions 45 to 496 of the family's 1533-position model. Lineage: Bacteria; Pseudomonadati; Bacteroidota; Flavobacteriia. The record is from RNAcentral.